GCGUUGUUCGGAAUUACUGGGCGUAAAGGGCGCGUAGGCGGCCUUCUAAGUCAGACGUGAAAUCCCCCGGCUUAACCUGGGAACUGCGUCUGAUACUGGGAGGCUAGAGUAUGGGAGAGGGAUGCGGAAUUCCAGGUGUAGCGGUGAAAUGCGUAGAUAUCUGGAGGAACACCGGUGGCGAAGGCGGCAUCCUGGACCGACACUGACGCUGAGGAGCGAAAGCCAGGGGAGCAAACGGG
Molecule: ribosomal RNA, 239 nt
Filed under: uncultured bacterium
Lineage: Bacteria
Description: partial 16S ribosomal RNA
Rfam family: Bacterial small subunit ribosomal RNA
Source: RNAcentral